This is a long non-coding RNA of Mus musculus (house mouse), 2769 nucleotides long. RefSeq annotates it as predicted gene, 41818. The transcript has 3 exons. The record is from RefSeq and is a predicted model, not a curated record. NCBI's taxonomy places the organism in Eukaryota, Metazoa, Chordata, Mammalia, Rodentia, Muridae.
AAGGUAGGCUAGAAGAGACAGAAGAGAGAAGGAGGGAGAGUCUCCAGCCAUUGGCUGCUUUCCCAGCUGUCCCUGGGGUAGCAGGCAAGAGACUAGAAACACAGCUAAGCAGAGGACAGAGCAAGGGGAGCUGAGCAAGGAGAAGUUACAUUGGCUGGUCAGUCAGCAAACCUCAGCAUCUCUGGUCUCCACCCCUCCAACAACCCAGCUCUGGGGUUGCAAGCACAAAUGGCCAUACUUGCUGAUCAUUUUAUACGGAGAGUUGCUGGCUGCUUACACAAUCUAUUUCAGACCCUGAUGCCUGAAUUCUGCCGGGAAGUACCCUCUGAGUUCGGAAACCUAUGCGCCACCAUGGACAGAAGAUGGGAUUGAAAGACAGAUGAAUCUGACUCUUGUGUCAUGUAGAGUUAAGAUAUGUUUCUAUUCUGCAAUCUUGUGAGUGGAAUUCUAGGAAUGCGCCCUAGGCUUCUGAACUGGCCUAGGGAAACUUGAGUCACUUUCCCAGCCGUAGCAUUCAGAAGCUGUCUUUUGAGAGACAGCAUCUCUCAAACACUAAAGUGCAUAAGAACCCCUCUGGGGUUUUGAUAAAGUGUCAGAUCUGCCUCUGAGGGGUAGGACACUAAGUUUCUGCAUUUUUAAAGCUCUCAGGAGAUGCCCAUUCUGUUGGUGUGUCCUUAAGAACAUGGCCUCUGCCUCCCCCCCCCCCCCCCAAGGCCAGCUCGGAAUGUCAGAGCAGAUCAAAACUUCACAAAGUAGAUUUGGGCAGAGGACCCAAAAACCAUCCGAGCGAAAUGUAAUUGUGAGUGUGAAACAUGGCUUACUUUCCUUGUGAUUAAGGGCUUUGCCCAUGGAGGAUCGUGAGCUAGUCGUAUAGCACAUGUAACCACUUCUCUGAUUGGACAUUCACACAUGAUCACCUCUCUGGCUGGGCUUUGGGCUGAGUGAGCGUGUACAGGGAGUGUGUGACCUCCUUAUUGACUCAGCCCAAGGAAGCACUAAGAAAAUGACCAAUUCCAGUAGAGCUUACUCCAGUCUUCAUUUAUAUCACACUGUGAGAUUCAUUAAAUAUCACUUAAAGGGCAGCGCAAUACACGGUCCUCACUUGAAUAUAUCAUAUCAUAGACACUGUCUUCUUGUGGUGGUAAAAUUCCUUCACAAACGAAGCAUAAAUACAAAGUGUUGACUUUUAGCUCACAGUCCCAAAGGAAUACAGUCCGUCAUGGCAGGGAAUACAUGGCAGGAGGCAGGGAAGGCGUGGUACUAUGGAUAGGGCCUGGAUACUCAUGCUACAUCCACACAUGGGAAGCAGAGAAGGGAUAGGAAGAUGGGUCAGUGUAUAAAGUCUAGCUCCCGUGUCCCACUUCCUCCAUCAAGGCUCCACCUCCUAAGCAUUUCCCAACCUUCCCAAACAGCAGCACAAGUUGAGCACCAAGUUUUCAAACAUGUGGGCCUAUGGAGAAUAUUGCAUGUCCAAGCCAUAUCCCUCCUCCCCCUGGCUCCUCUAGGCUUAUGACCUUCCAUUGAGAUACAUUAAAUCCAACUUCAGAAACUCCCCAGUCUUUAGCAGUCCCUCCCCACCCUGAUCAAAGAGUUCAAAGAUUCUUGUGAUACUCAAAGCAAUUUUGCUCUUGAAAAGACUGUGUGUGUAGCUCACUGAACCUGCUGCAUCUCACCGAUUCAACCCCAUUAGCUGCCCGUUGAGUCUUUGGGAUCCUCCUGUCUCUGCCUUCCUCAUGUUAAGGUAAAAGUGCAGGAGAAUGCCACCAUGACUGUAUCCUUAAGCUCAGGUCCCCACAGUGCAGAGCAGUCACCUAGCCAGCUCCCUGAGCAUCUCUUCAGCCCCUUCCCUGCAUUUUCUGUUUCUCUUCCUAUUUCUGUCUUGGUUGCUAUUUCUCCUUUGCUCAGCUUUACUUAUAAGAGUCAUCUGUUGCCCAGCCUGGUUCAGAACCAAAAUCAAGUGAUUCUUCUGCCUCAACUCACUAGUAACGGGGACCCCAGACACUUAGACUCGUCUGGCUUCAGCUUCACCUUCAAGUGACAAAGGCCCACAGAACACAGAACAACACGCAAUGCCCUGACAUCUGAGGGAUGGGGAGCUGAUGCCCAGCAUUGCCAAGUGUCAGUUACAGGUUAAUUCUUGAAAAUAAACUCAGCACCCUGUGAGGUCUGCUUUCUCCUGCUUAUUUCCCUUCACUUCCUUAAAGGCCAUCUUUGGGGUAUGCUGAGUACUGCAAAGGAAAUCGUCGAUCUUCAAAGACUCUCUCUUGUCCACUUCGCUUGUGCUGUCCUCUGUCAGAGGCAAUGGCGGUACAGGGAACUUUGCAGAACUCAUAGAGUUCCCAGAUCAGCACUCUGAGGAGGACUAGAUCAGACAGUGUUCUUCUAGUUCAUCAUGCUGCAAGUAAGGCCACAGAGGCACUGUGAAGGGCUCUGCUCUUCAUCUUGGCAUUUACAUUUUUGGUGGCCUUGAGCUAGCUGUCUUCCAUCUUUUGUAUACAACAUGAGAAAUUAUCUGUUUUCUUAUGCCUUUGAAAGAUUUGUUUCCAGCGUUUCCAGGACAGUGAGAAGGUUUUAAGCUGCAGGCUUCCACAGCAGCUAAACCGAAAUCACUGUGAUUACACAGCUAGAGUCAGGUGUGCACUAUAGUGCACAGGCAUUCACCUAGGAAGUGCAAGGCCCUGGGUUCAGUGCCCAGCACGGAAAAGGGAAAUCUGCUUCCCUGGUCUCCAUCUAACAGGAAUUUGGAAAUCAUUAAUCCAUGCCACAAGA